RNAcentral lists this ribosomal RNA (400 nucleotides) under phytoplankton environmental sample. Its description in RNAcentral is "partial small subunit ribosomal RNA". It matches the Rfam family "Eukaryotic small subunit ribosomal RNA", at positions 587 to 985 of the family's 1831-position model. The record is from RNAcentral.
AGCUCCAAUAGCGUAUAUUAAAGUUGUUGCAGUUAAAAAGCUCGUAGUUGGAUUCCUGGUUAGAGCGGCCGGUCGGGUCCGAAUGGGCUCGCACUUUGAGCUGUCUUUGACCUUCCUUUGGGAGAAGUUGUUUGCGCAUUGAUUUGCGUGGGCAAGGGACCCCAAUCGUUUACUGUGAAAAAAUUAGAGUGUUUAAAGCAGGCAUUUGCUGUGAAUACAUUAGCAUGGAAUAAUAAGAUAGGACUUUGGUGCUAUUUUGUUGGUUUGCACACCAAGGUAAUGAUUAACAGGGACAGUUGGGGGUAUUCGUAUUUAAUUGUCAGAGGUGAAAUUCAUGGAUUUAUGAAAGACGAACUACUGCGAAAGCAUUUACCAAGGAUGUUUUCAUUGAUCAAGAACG